UACGUAGGGUGCGAGCGUUAAUCGGAAUUACUGGGCGUAAAGCGUGCGCAGGCGGUUCGUUAAGUCAGCUGUGAAAGCCCCGGGCUUAACCUGGGAAUGGCGGUUGAAACUGGCGGGCUUGAGUGUGGCAGAGGGGGGUGGAAUUCCGCGUGUAGCAGUGAAAUGCGUAGAGAUGCGGAGGAACACCGAUGGCGAAGGCAGCCCCCUGGGCCAACACUGACGCUCAGGCACGAAAGCGUGGGGAGCAAACAGG
RNAcentral lists this ribosomal RNA (253 nucleotides) under uncultured bacterium. RNAcentral's name for it is "partial 16S ribosomal RNA". It matches the Rfam family "Bacterial small subunit ribosomal RNA", at positions 524 to 776 of the family's 1533-position model. The record is from RNAcentral.